Molecule: microRNA, 20 nt
Filed under: Ciona intestinalis (vase tunicate)
Lineage: Eukaryota; Metazoa; Chordata; Ascidiacea; Phlebobranchia; Cionidae
Description: cin-miR-196-5p
Gene: cin-miR-196-5p
Source: miRBase by way of RNAcentral
UAGGUAGUUUAAAGUUGUGG